This is a long non-coding RNA of Balaenoptera ricei (Rice's whale), 7423 nucleotides long. RefSeq lists it as uncharacterized. The record is from RefSeq and is a predicted model, not a curated record. The transcript has 6 exons. Lineage: Eukaryota; Metazoa; Chordata; Mammalia; Artiodactyla; Balaenopteridae.
AAGAACUAUUGCAACUCUGCAUUUUCUUCUUUGCUUGUUAAGCAUAACACUGAGUGUCGUUGGUGGUUAAAUUUACAAUUUAGUCUUUAGGUUAAGGAAUAUCCAAGGUGCUAUGGUGACUAAAAGAGAAGAACUGACAUCACCCAGAGCUCAAUACAGUGGCUGAGGCUGCCUCCUUAUAGUGGCGCCACUCUGUGUUACCACCCUUUUGGGGACAGAGUGAGCCUACAUUCAUUUAUAUGACGUGGAAGUAUGACGUUGGAUGGAUACAAUGGAAUGUGUGGAUCUGAGUAGCAAAAGAAUGGAUAUACCAGAUUGUGUCUCUUGGCUGUUAGGUCCGAAUUCAUCCUUCUAGAUACUCUCCAUCCCCUUUUCCAGACUCACUCAUCUGGCCAAUUUCAUGUUAGGUUCUUCCAAUGGGAGGCGUAGGUAGUAGGUCCCAGUGUGCGAGAAAGAGAUUAAUCAUUUCCCCGGCUACUGGCAGCAGCAAGGAUGUGCAGCUGGGCUUGACUGCUUGUGCUACAAGCUCCACAAGCCUGGGGGUGGUUUCAGCAACAUUGGCAGUAAGUAGCCACUCCUCGGAUCCAGCCGAGGGACAGUGGCAGCUUCCCAUUCUUUAGGUUACAGCUGCCUUCUUUGUCUGCUCCUAGCCCUUCCAGCAGUUUUUAACCAGUUCCCUACACUGCAACCUUCUCUGCUUGAAAUAUAUACAGCCGUUUCUACUCUCCUGUUUGGACACUGAGUGCUACAGAGAUCUUUCUGUAUCAGAACAAAGUCAGCUUCCUCAUUCUCUAGUUUAAAAAAAGAAAAAAGAAAUGUGUCAUAUUUAUAUAAGAAGACCCAGAUAAUGGAUACUUAAGUUGCUCUCAAUCUUCUUUCUUAAUCAGUAAGGGCAAUAAAGGCAUUUCCAUUUUAGGAAAGUAUCAUCAAGGCAUAUAUUUGGCAAUGUUUGUCUCUCCCUCAAUCUGGAAUGAUACCUGCUAAAGUUCUUAUGCAGGGAUCUAAAUGGCUAUAAUGAGAUUCAACUAGACUCUAGAAUCUAGAGAGUGUCCAUCUGCAGCUAGUUAUUUAUUGCUUAAUAAAUAUUCUAAAGUAUUGUCCGCAUAUAUCCUAGUCUUAUCUCUUCCAAACGAAUUUCAAGCACCUUGAGGCUGGAUCUUAUAUCACCUUUUGAAUAUGUUAAUGGGGUGUGGGGAGAAGUUUUAGUAGUGCCUCUUCCCUUAUGAUUAAUGUCAUCUGAAUGUGUCAUCUGAUUGGCAGGCUGGGAAGAGCCCUACAUGCCUUCAUGCGAAUGGGGCUCAGGUUUUCUCUUGAGAAAGAAGCUGAUGACGCAGCUAACACUGCCACAUAGCGUAGUGGCUCAAAUCGAGGUCCAGUUAAUUUUAUUAUUGGUCUUACUCCAAAUCCCUUUCAUGGAGGCAGUGCUCCUUAGAAACCAUUUUCCCUUAAUUAUAAAAUAUUUUAAUUGAUUUGUGGGCAGUGCUCUAAUUCCGCCUGUGUGGCCUGUCCCCUUGGUCCACCUCGGGGCUGGAAGGCUGCCCAGCCCAGCACAAUGCCCUCGUCCCCACGGGGCUGCCUCAGGCCCCAUCUCAGCCAUCUGAUAUUCUGCUUCCGCUAGACUAAAGAAUGAAGGCCUCUUUAGCUCUUUGCUAACAGCAUCCUUCUACUCUGUCUUCUGAUUGUAUCUUCUUUAAUUAAACAGCACUUUUGCUAUCUUCUCAUCUUUUAGGUAUUCAGAUCAUUCUGGCAUUCUACUUCCAGCUCUUAGAUUUAUUUGAAUUUUCUAAAAUGGGAGAGGUUGGGUCCUGUUUACAGUUGCCAUGCCAACUCCCAAUCAGCCUUUUCCUUGGGAGGAUUUUUCUUUAGCUGCUCUACACUUUCACAGCAACUUAUAGUGUGACAGGAAUCUUCAAACAUUCGCAAGCAACUUGGCCAAUAGGGAUGUGGGGCUGCAGUUCCUAAGAUGAAUAUCCAGGCUUUUUCCACGAGGGUUCUACUUUUAUAAUCUUCAACAUAAUCCCUUUAAAGCAAGAAUCCCUGGCAAAUCCAAGCUGCUAUGGUAUGAAAAUUCUAAUUAAAGGCAAAAAUCAAAGCUGCUUUUGGUGGUAAUGCUGUUAUACUGUCAACCUCAUUGUCAGUCAAAUUAACAAAAUACAUUUCUAAUAACCCAGCUAAUGCAGUGAGAAAUAAAUAGCCAAGUCCAUUUAACUCUCAGAAGCUUAAAUGCUGUUAAAUCACAUUUCCUGUUUAUGAGGCUGAAUCUGAGAAGAUAUGCAUUAAUUAUAUUUCCAAAUAGUCCAAAAAAAUGAGAAGGCAUGCAUGAAAAGGAAAAUUUUUAAUUUUUUAUAUUUCAGUAAUAAUCACACAUAACAAUGAUUUAUGAUCACUUCUACUACAGCUAACAAAAUAGUUUAUACUGAACAUUUAGUAGAUUAAACAGCAGUUAUCCAAGAUAAAUGGUCCAUUGAUAUGCUCAUUUUCUCGAUAGCCACAUCCACAGGCUAAGUCCACAACUGGAUCACAUCCACAUUUCAUGGUAAUUGGUUUUAAAACUAUCAAAACAGGAGGAACAUGGAAAUUCCAUCCGCAAAUCCUCAGCGGCCCAUUGGAGAUCUCUUAAUGCAUGUGCUUUUCUUUUCAUGGGAAUUCCACAUGCAAGUUGUGAAGCAGAGGAAGGUGCUAUUAGAAGUACCAGGUCUGACAUCAACACGAAUUGGUUUUACCUCUUGCUGGCCCAGGACUCCCGGCUGGUCCUGCAGUGUUGGUAGUAUACUCUCUCAGGUAUGGGUGAGGCUCCCCCCUGCUCUUCCUUCAGACCCAGCUCGGAUGUCAGCACAUCAGGAGGGCUUUCCGGACCACCCGAUGUGAUCAUGCCUUCACCUCCCACCAUGCCGGAUUCCCCGUCGUGCUUUGAUUUUCUUCAUGGCGUUUGUCAAUAUGUAUCUCUGUAGCACCCCGAACAGGUCCUGUCACCUAUGAGGUUUAAUAUGGCGCAUCCUAGUGCAACCAUGAUGGCAGCCAUGAUGGGGCCAGGGAUCCAGGAGAAUUUCUAUUCAUAAUGUUGAUAGCCCCGGGGAAUGCAGACAGCCCACGUCACACUCCUGAAGUUGCCAAAAAUCCCUUUAAAAUGAUCCAACAGAUGUCCUUCCUUGGGGUCGAGCGGAUAUAAAUCACAACGGUCUGCUUUCAAUUCCUAACUCGGUGUCUUAGGGGCAGCAAAAUCAAUCACUCUCAGCUUACAGCUGUAGAAGCUGUGCCCUGAACAACAGCAGAGAGCACCCUUCACAGCAGCGUCGAGGAGACUGGAGCUAUAAGGGGGCUUGUCCAGGUCAUACAACUGGAUGACGAGAUGGACCCUUUGUCUAAAAACAGUAAGUGAGGAGGAUACAGAGAAGCAAUUGAAGGAAACAAAGGCAAAAGUGGGAAGUCCCCCUCUGGCAAGCAGCUCCAAGAAGACAGAGCUGGUGCCAGAAUGGAAACCUUGGGACUCCAGUUGCUGCAUAAAAAAAUAAAUAGAGGAACAACAAUAACACCCACAUCUCCAUGCUGGACAGCAGAAGAGCAAGAAGUUGCCGAACAUUUGGUUUUUUUGUUUUUUGCUAGAUUAUUUUUUACUCUCUAAAUCUAAGCUCCUAUAUUCCCCUUCUUCCCUGUUUCUAUAUGUUAGAAGCUCAGUACAAAUGAAAAAAAAAAAAAAAAAAAAACCAAAAAACCCCCCAAAAAAACCCCAGAACAAAAGCAUUAAGGCUGGGUGCUUCAUUUAUUGUCAACAGGGAUGUUUCAGACUAUUGUUAAACUAGAAGGGACUCAAUGCUUUAGAAACAUCUCAUCACUCAAUUUAGUGAUUUUCAUAUACUUUUAUUAGACUGCCAUGCAGCAAAACAUGGAACUCCUCCCCAGUCCCCUCUACUUCUUCCAUCUCUCAUCAAGGCAGUUUCCUUGUUAUGGUGAAGGGAAAACUGGAUACAACUGCAGUAUUUCUAGUCCUAUCUGAUGAAUAAUACUCAGCCCAUUUCAUCAUCUGAGCCUUUAAGACAUAGUAUCUCUUAAGGACCCUGUUAGAUGGGGUUGGGGGAAGCGUCUUGCCCUGUGAAAACAGAUUCAUGCUAGGAGAGGUCAACAAAGACAAUAAAAUAAAUACUUAUUACAUGCUUACUAGAUGCCAGACAGAGUGUCAAGUAAUAAAUGAGCAUUAUCUUAAUUAAUUCUAAUAAUGAAUCCUUCUGCAAGAGAGGUAGGUAUUCAUAUCAACCCCAGUUUACAGAUGAGGAACCUCUUGGAGAGGUUAAGUAACUUGCCCAAGGUCACACAGCUAGUAAGUGGUAGAGCUGGGAGCUAAUCCAGGUCUAACACAGUAUUCAUUAUCUUAAUCCCUAAACUAUAAUGUCACUUGAGUAUGGUGAUAAUAGAAGUAGUGAGAAUCGCCAAGGUAAUAAAAAAUAAAUAAAAUUCAAGCUCAUAACUUCUCAAUCUGAGGUCACCAAAGGUGGUCCAUGGUUUGGGUUGGGGAGAGUCUAUGAAUUAUUUUCAACAAUUCAAAUAGUCUAAUCCAUGGGUUCUUUGUCUUUUGUGUGCCAUGGACCCCUAUGGCUGUUUAAUGUAGCCUAUAGAUACCUCUCAGAAUAAUGUUUUUAAAUACAUGAUUCACUCAUAUAUAUAUUAUGAUACAUAUCAUAAUAUAUAUACAUAUAUAUUAUAGAUUACAAAUGAAGCCAUUACAUUGAAAUGAUCAAAACAGCUAAACAUGAAUUUGUGAUACAUCAACAUAUAUCCUUCUAUAUGAACACAUAUAGAAGAGCAACCCGUGGGUCUGAUAACUCCUGUAACUUUAAUGUAGUGAUGGUCAUAAGCAUUGUUCCUAGCUAUUUGCAACAGCAUCUGUGUUUGAUAUGAAAAUAUCUCUGCUUUCUACGGUGACAAAGCCAAAGGCACUGCUAAUACUGCUGUGGUUUGUUGCCUACAUUCAUAAUGGAAGGAAAUGAUGUUUCCGUUAGAGGUUAGUGAAAAUAAAGACGCAAUUUUUUUCCCUUCUAACUUCACUGACCCCUUGAAUCCUAACCAUAAACCCUUAACCCAGGUUAGGAAUCUAUUAAAUAACCUAACGAUCACCUAAUGGAAGUGCUAAGUUUACUCCUGAUAAGGCUUCAGUCUAAAUCAUUGCAUUUUUAUUUUUGCUUUGGCAUGGAACUAAUUGUAUCAAUCUAUUAUAUCAAUAGUAUUUGAUCAAUAAUUAAUAUCCAGAAACACACUGUAACUGGUGGGCAACAACUUUGCUGAGAACUCUUCUGGAUGAUGUUUACAGGAGACCCUGCUUGCUCUAGUUGUAUCUUUGUUGGAAAGUAACAGAAGACUUUGCACAUGAGGAUCACAUCAUUUCAGUAUGCGACAGAAUGCUGCUGGGAAAAGGAAACUAAUGUUUUGAGUAAAUAAAAGAGUUCUUCUACGAGUCUAAAUUACCAAUGGUCUAUCAGUAUUUUGAGAGAACAAAGGUCACUUGUAAACCUACAAUGCAUGGCAGGGAACUGAGGUUUAAAAUUUAGUUUAAGGUUUUGGCUGAGGAUUUCAGAGAACCAGAGCCAUACCAGUAAAUACUGUUGACUAGAGGACACUUUUCUAAAUGUGAUGCUUCAGAUCAAUGGCUGUUAAGAGUAAAUCUAUGUUCUCAGGUUUCUGGUUGGCCUGUAAGUAACUAAAAUAGGUCAGGAUUUAGAGCACCCUUUAGGCAUCAGAACGGAAGUUUAUCCAAACGUAAGCCACACAGGAUUCCUGCAAGAUGGAAGCCAUUUCCUUAUCAAUAGAGGAACAAAAGACAUCACAGUUUAGGGUUCCCCAAAACCAGCUGCAUAUUAAAUUCCCUAAGAAGCUUAAAUAUUGAUGCUCAGGUCUUACCCCAGACCAGUAAAGUCAGAAUAUCUGGAAAUAGGCCUUGGGAAUCUAUAUUUGCAAGGGUUGAGACACAAUGGCUUAGGAAAAUGUAGUGGACAAGGAUGGUUCCAAAUUCUUUGCCGUUCUUGCCAUCAGGAGGAAUCUGGCCUUGCUCUGUGAUUUGCUUUGACCAAGAGAAUGCAAUGGAAAUAACAGUCUGGGGCUUUUGAACCCUGGCCUUAAAAGGACGGGCAUCUUUUGCUUCUCAGUUUGGGAGACCUGCUGCUAUGCUGUGAAGUCCAGACCAGGACAGUACAUGGUCAGAGGUCAUAUGGAGAGAGCGCUGGAGGACAGGAGAUUCCCUUGGAGACUACCUAGGAGACUACCUUACCCAGCUUUAGCCAAACUCUCAGCUGAAUGCAGCUGCGUGUGCGACCUCGGCCUACCCCCAAUCAGAAGAGCCGCUCUACUGAGCCCAUUCCACCCACAUAAUUGUGAGAAAUAAUAAAUUAUUGUUGUGGUAAGCCAGUAAGUUUUGGAGCGAUUUCUUAUUCUGUAAUAAAUAACUGAAAAAGGGAAAUAUUUCCUGACAAUUCUUGAUUCUUCUCCCUGAAAGAUCUGUUGCUCCUAUCUUGGAAUCUUGAUGUGAACUGAAAAACAAGGCUGGAUCCGUCUUUCUAAUGCAGAUAGAAGACAUAAUGACACUAAGAGCUCAAGUGAAAGCUUACAUUAUGCAAACAAAGGAAGACCAAUUACCCCAUGUGGCCUUAGGCAAACCACCAACUCCUGCUGCUGUCUAUUCACCCACCCCCACGCAAACCCUGAGAGCUUGCAACUGCCUUGUCUCGGUGGCCUUUGUGGUAGACAGAUGCAUCAUCAGAUCCCCUUUCAAGGACGGACUUGCGGCCCAGCUGUGGGAAGUCCAGUCAGCAGACGGCUUCCAGCUCCUUCGGGGUCUGCCUCAGCUGCAGAGCACAGCCUUUCCCCAAAAUGAUGCCCUUCCUGGGGCAUCCCACAUUUGGUGACUAAGUGAGGCUGGGGGUAUAAAGGCCUGAUCAUUUUUGUCUGAUGUAAGAUGCUCUGAUGGAAACUACUCUCUCUGGAGCUCCCUUGCAGGUUGGCCAAGGUUUGUCAGGCCUCUAUCAUAGUUUGGUUUUCUCCUCUGCCAAUUCUGCUUCCUACCCCUUCCUUUCUCAGGUGUUAAUCCCUAAUAAACAUCUUGCACUCCAAACUUUGCCUCAAUGCCUGCUUCUGGAGAAUCCGUGAAGCUCUUGAUGGCAAGGUUUAUAUUGAGGGCAGGGGUAUGUUUUGAUUGCUAUGUCUGAUUUUCUGCCCACAGUCUGAUUCCCAAAAGCGGACAGAAGAACUUUCCCCAGGUCUGGAAGAUGGAGACAAAGAACCCAUGAAUCAGGCCAUCCCUCUUGGUAAAAAUCCAGACCUGGGAGAGAGAUGAAGAUUCUGUUUAACAAUUUCUGUAACAAAGCCAAAACAUGUUCCCAGGAAUUAGCUGUAUUUGGUAAUCACUGUCUCAAAUCUGUUUAACAGUUACUUUCCUCCA